CGGGGAAAAUCACUUCUAUGACUCCCUCGCACCAUAAUUUUAAAAAGAGAAACUGGCAAUAACAUUUCAAAAAAAAAAAGAAAAUACAAGGGCAGAGGGGAAGAAAAGAAAGGAUCACAAGAGAGAGCGCAAGGAAAAAACGAGAGCACACAGUCAUAGCAAAGAAUACAUCAAGGGCACCGAAAGAGAGCUUUGGGUACUAAGUUUCACCUACAACAUACCAUCGUCACCAAUCACCACCACUUGGGAGGAAGGGACCUCACGGCCAGAGAGGAAGAGAACCAUUUGACUUCACUGGAUUCUUUUGAAGCAGCAGAGGUAAGCUGUCGACUUUAAGCUCUUAGUCGUGUGAGAAUGCAUGCUCCUCCGUUAUAUGCCUAGAUUAUGAAUGAAAGGUUUUGUAUAUGAAUGAAUGAGGUUUGAUUGAUGUUCAUAAUUAUGCUUCUUUCGUAUGGCAAAGUUGUGAGUCAAAAUGCUUUCCUAAACAUGUUUUCAAUACCUGCAAGGUUCGUUGAGUAUUAUUAACAGUAGAGACUAGGAAUACAUCCCCAACAUCAGGACCCCAACUCCCUCUUUACUUACAUACACCCAGAAAAAAUCGAAAGAAAGAAACAUAGACAGAAUCCUUUCAUAUCAGUUUUCAUAUGAAGCAAAAGAAAACAUAAAACAAAAGCAGUUGCUCCCUCUAACAAACCAUAGAUCUCCCUCAACCUGAGUAAUAAUGUCAGCCGCAACUACCUUCAAUCUCAAGAUCAUCUUUCACCUGUAUCAAACACAAUGAACAGACCAAAUCACAGAACAGCUCACUUUGUCCUCGGCUAUAUCCCAUCGCCUGGGGAACACAUCAUCAAUUAUCGUUCUCUUACUCAUACUCCCACUCAUUCGCACACAAUACACACUCAUCGUCUCAAUCAUUUCCGAUCCCAGUAGACAAAACAUCAAAUAAAAGGCAUAAUGAGCAAAGAAAAACCCUCGAAUGGAGAGGGAGGAGCGCGACGCUGGUGGUGUUGGUGAGGGAGCGGUUCCGGCGAGGAGAGCGGCGGCUAGGUUUGUCGAUAGUGGCUGGAUUCGUUCGUGGUGGUGGAGAUUCGUCGUCACAGAACGGUCUUUCUCUCUCACGCGCAGAUUGGUCCUAUUGAUGAUUAGUGUUGUCGGCGACGCCGUGGUUGAUUCUGGCGACGGCUCCGGCAGCGGGUUGCAUCGACGGCGCGCCCCCGGUUCUCGGUCCGAGAGGUGGCGACUGGGUGCAACGCAAAUGGAAGGCGAGUGCGUCAGCCUCGCAGGCGAAGAAGAGAGGGAGAGAGAUCAGAACAGUCACCGGCGACAAUGGCCGGUGUGGUUGAUUCCGGCGACGGUGGCGGUGUGCGUGAGUGGGUGGAGGAGACGAAAUCUCCAUGGCUUGUUUUUCUCUCGCAUGGAACCCUAGCUCCUGGCUGCUCUGAUUUUGGAGCAUGCAAUGUUGAGCAAUGCCACUGAACUGAAAGAAAAGAACCAUGGGCUUAAGCUCUUGGGUAACCUUUUUAAGAAAACAAAAAAUAUCUUUAUCCUUGCACCCCUCGUUUUCAUCUGCACACCCCCUGCCCAUUCCCAUACAAAAAAAACAAACCUUUUUUUCAAACAAAAAACCUUUUGCACCCCCGUUUCCCAUCCUGACACACCCCUUUCUUUCUUUUUUUUCUUUUUUGUUCUUAGUUAGGCCUCGAGCCCAAAGGCAAUUCAGGGUCUGCUUUCUUUAUGCAGCCACUUUUUUAGUUUUUCCCUCUCCAUCGAUAUUUUGGGCCUUUUUCUUUUUUUGAUUUUUUUAAUUUCUUUUACGACUUUUAUUUGCCCUUUUGUUUCUUAUCUUAUUUCUUUUAUCUUGUUUUAUUAUUUUUUUUUUAUGUUAUUUCAUUUUAUUUUUUUAUCUUAUAUCUUUAUUUAUUUUAUUUUGUUCUAUUUUAUUUUUAUUUUUAUUUUUAGUUUCGUUUUUUUUUCUUCUCUUUUCCAAUUCAGAUAUUUACCCACUUUCCAAAUAUGUAAUUAAAAAAUAUAUUUUAAAGGUUUAAGCACGUGUGUGAUCGCACGCAUCGUCUUCGUGCUAAGACCUCUUUUUUUCCUUUUAUAAAAAAAAUUAAAAAAUAUGUUUUAAGGAUUCUAGCGCAUGUGUGAUCGCACGCAUCGUCCUUGUGCUAGAAAACCCUUUCUUUUCUAUAAAUCAAAAUUAAAUAUAUAUUUUAAGGGGUCUAACACAUGUGUGAUCACACACAUCGUCCUUGUGCUAGAAAACCUUUUCUUUUCUAUAAAUAAAAGUUAAAAAUAUAUUUUAAGGGGUCUAGUACAUGUGUGAUCACACGCAUCGUCCUUGUGCUACAAAACCCUUUCUUUUUUAUAAAUAAAAAUUAAAAAUAUAUUUUAAGGAUUCUAGCGCAUGUGUGAUCGCACGCAUCGUCCUUGUGCUAGAAGACCUUUUCUUUUUCUUACAUAAAAAUUACAAAAAAUGCCAAAACAUCAUUUCUCCAACAAGCAAUCAACUUUUCUACAAGAACUACGUAACCCUGAUUUCUCAGUCCAACUGAGAAUACGUAGGAGCAAGGUCAAUCCUUGUCGGGCACAAAAAACACAAAAAAAUAUUUUGUUUUCUUCAUAGUUUUAUUUUUUAGGGGAAAUUAAACAUUUUGCAAACCACAUUAAAUUCGCGCAUUUGAUUAAAGGUACUGCCUUCGGGCAGGCGUUGUAGGGUGCUAAUACCUUCCCUACACGUAACCGACUCCCGAACCUAAUCUUUGGUUUUCGUGGACCGUGCUUUAUCAUUUUAUGGUUUUUCCGUAGUUUUCCAGAAUAAACUAUGGUGGCGACUCCAAACUCUUUUUCAAAACCGUCUUCUUUUUUGGAUCGUCGUUGUCCCGUCGCGAUUUCCCGGUUGCGACAGACAUAUUUUCAUUGUUAGGCUUGUUGAGAUUAAUUUUCUCAUAAAAAAAAGCCAAUAUUUUCUCUAUUUUUAUCCCAUGUUAUUCCAUGAUAAAAAUAACAACAUCAUUCUAUUUUUACUUAUUUUUUCAUAUUUUGUUCUAUUGUCAUAAUUAAUUUGUAUUAAAAAUUUAAUUGACUAAUUUUAUAUUAUUUUUCUUUCUUGCAGUAUUUUUCUAGUUGCAGUUGUAGAUGUCAACAAUAUUGUGACAAACAAAUCAUUGAAGUUAGGGAAGAUUGAUGUUUUCAUGUAAAUGUUUAUAGGUUAUGUUAUGGUGAUGUACAUUCUUAACGUAUAGAUAGGAUAUAAAUGCUAUGAUUGUAUGUAUUAUCUUAUAAAGAAAUGUCAUGUCAUGAUAUGUAAUGGACGACUCAAUGAUUAUAUUUUGAAAUAUUAUUGUAUCAAUAUUUUUUAUUUAUACACUAAAGUAAAGAACAAUAUUUUUGAGACCUUUAUCUCUGUUAUAUAUAAUAGAAUCAAUAGACAGCGUAGGUUUGUAUUAAUAGAAUCAAUAUUUUACAUUUUCUUUUCAAAAAAUAUUUUAUUGAAAAAAUAUAUUUUUUUAAAAAAAAUUAGACCAAUAGAUAGCGCUUAUUUAAAAAAGUGUUAUCUAUUGGUAUCUGAUAAUAGAUGGUGCUUAUUUAAAAAAGCGCUAUCUAUUGGUGUUUGACAAUAGAUAGUGCUUAUAUAUUGUUAGACACCAAUAGAUAGCACUUUUUUUAGAAGCGCUAUCUAUUAGCGCUGACAUAGAUAGCGCUUAUGAUAAAAAAAAGCGCUAUCUAUGUACUUUUUUGUAGUAGUGAAUAUUGUCAAGGAAGAUAUCAAAGUCUUCUAGUUGUUGUUUCAUCCACAAAAUUUGGGCACAACAGUUUCCAGCUGCAAUAUAUUCAGCUUCAGUUGUAGACAAAGCUACACAUGCUUGUUUCUUUGAGUGCCAUGACACUAAAGAACAACCCAAGAAAUGACACGUUCCACUAGUACUUUUUCUAUCAAUUUUUCAACCACCAUAAUCUGAAUCAGAGUAUCUUAUUAAACUAGGUGAAGCAUCAGAGGGAUACCAAAGUCCAAAGGAAGUAGUUCCCUUAAGAUAUUUUAGAAUUCUCUUAACAAUAGUCAAAUGUGAUUCUUUAGGAUUGGGUUGGUAUCUAGCACAUACACAAACACUCUGCAUAAUAUCUGGUCUACUAGUAGUUAAGUAUAUCAAAGAUCCUAUCAUGCCUCUAAACAUGGUUUCAUUCACUCCAUUUCUAGUUUCAUCCUUAUCUAAAUAACAUGAAGUACCCAUGGGUUUACUAGCUUCUUUGCAGCUAUCCAUACCAAAUUUCCUAAGAAUUUCUCUACAGUAUUUAGUUUGGGAGAUGAAUGUUCCAUCAUUCAUUUGUUUUAUCUGUAGUCCUAAGAAAAAGUUUAACUCACCCUUCGUAGACAUCUCAAAUUCACCUUGCAUUAUUUUUGCAAACUCUUCACACAAAGAGUCAUCAGUUGACCCAAAAAUAAUAUCAUCUACAUAAACUUGAACAAUUAAAAUGUGUCUUCCUACUUUCUUAAUGAAUAAGGUUGAAUCAACCUUUCCUCUAGAAAAUUCAUUUUCAAUCAAAAAGGUACUAAGUCUUUCAUACCAAGACCUAGGUGCCUGUUUAAGACCAUAAAAGGGCCUUUUUCAAUUUGUAAACAUAAUCAGGAAAUCUAAAAUCUUCAAAGCCAGGAGUUUGACUAACAUACACUUCUUCUUUUAUAAAUCCAUUUAAAAACGCACUUUUAACAUCCAUUUGAUACAGUUUAAAUUUCAUCAAAGAUGCAUAUGCAAGUAACAAUCUAAUUGCUUCUAACCUGGCUACCGGUGCAUAAGUUUCAUCAUAAUCUAUACCUUCUUCUUGAUAGUAACCCUUAGCAACUAGGCUUGCUUUAUUCUUUGUGAUGUUUCCAUCCUCAUCAAGCUUGUUCCUGAAUACCCAUUUGGUUCCUAUGACUUGGAAUUCAUCUUGUUUUGGAAUAAGUUCCCAAACUUCAUUCCUUUCAAAUUGAUUUAGCUCUUCUUUCAUAGCAAUGCACCACUUGUCAUCUUGAAGAGCUUCCUUUAUAUUCUUAGGUUCUAUCUGAGACAUAAAAGCAACAAUUAAACAAAAAUUAUUUAAAUUGUGUCUAGUAGUUACCCCUUUUAAUAUAUCUCCUAUGAUGUUGUCCAAAGAUAGUCCUCUUGGUUGUUGAUAGCUUUUGGAAUCAACAACUUGGGGUGUUUCUUGAAGCUCCGGAGGAUAAUUCUCAUUUAGAUAUAUCUCUUCAAGGGCUUCUCUUAAGUAGUCCUCAUCACCUGCAAUGGGUUUAUUUGACUCAAGAGGAUUUACCUCAAGGUCUACAAUCUCAUCAAAGACAACAUGCAUUGAUUCUUCAAUUAUUAGUGUUCUUCUAUUGAACACUCUAUAAGCUUUGUUGGUCAAAGAAUAUCCUUGAAAAAUUGCUUCAACAGAUUUUGCAUCAAAUUUUCCAAGAUUAUCUUUUCCAUUAUUUAAGACAAAACAUUUGCAUCCAAAAAUUUUCAAAUGAGAUAUAUUUGGUUUUCUACCAUUCAACAAUUCAUAAGGAGUUAAUUUUAGAAUUGGCUUAAUAAGCAUCCUAUUUAACACAUAACAAGCAGUGCUUACUGCAUCAGCCCAAAAGUAUUUUGGCACAUUAGAUUCAUUCAUAAGCGUUCUAGCUAAUUCUUCUAAUUAUCUACUUUUCCUUUCAACAACACCAUUCUGUUGGGGAGUUCUAUGUGCAGAAAAAUUAUGUACAAUGCCAAAUUCUUCACAAAAUUUUCCAAAAGAUUCAUUUUCAAAUUCACCACCGUGAUCACUUCUCAAAGUUUUGAUUUUCAAAUCUUUUUCAUUUUGAAUACGUUUAGCAAAGGUUCUAAAUGAUUUGAAAGCUUCACUUUUCAAAGUUAAAAAGAAAGUCCAAGUAAAUCUAGAGUAAUCAUCAACAAUUACAAGAGCAUGGUAAUUUCCACCAAAACUUUUAAUUCUAGAUGGACCAAACAAGUCCAUAUGCAAAAGUUCUAAAGGUUUUGAUGUUGAAAUCNNGCUUUUAGAUGAAAAUGAAGAUUUGGUUUGUUUACCCUUUUGACAUGCAGAACAAAUUUUGUCUUUCUCAAAUUUUAGUUUAGGCAAACCAAUCACAAGAUCCUUAGAAAUUAAUUUAUUUAAAUGUUGCAUGUGAAUAUGUGCAGCUCUUUUAUGCCAUAGCCAUGGAUUUUCUUCUUUAGCAACUAAGCAUGUUAUAUUAUGACUAGAUGCACUCUCAAUAUCAAUCAAAUAUAUGUUAUUAUGCCUAACACCUUGCAAAGCAAAUGCAGCAGAAUAUUUAAAAUAAACAGUACAUUUAUCACUCUCAAAGAUUACCUUGAGACCUUUGUCGCAUAGUUGGCUUAUGCUUAGAAGGUUAUGUUUGAGGCCUUCAACGUAUAAAACGUCUUUUAUCGUCAAUGUGUUUCCUCCUCCAAUGUCUCCGGUCCCCAUUAUUCUGCCUUUUUUGUUAUCUCCAUACGUUACAAAUCCUUGCUUCUUCUUCUCAAAAGAGAUUAACCUUUUGUUGUCACCAGUCAUGUGUCUUGAGCAGCCACUGUCAAGAUACCACAAUGACUUCUUUGACUUAGAUUGUUCCUACAAAACAAGUUAGCAAGAAUUUUAGGUCCCCAAUCUCAAUAUGGGUCCUUAGGUUAGUUUUUGCAAGUUUACAUCAUUUCAGAGCUUUAACCCAUGUAUAUUUACCACUUGGAACACCAACAUGUUUAAUAUUGCACUUGUUUGAUGUGUGACCAUGCUUCAUACAGUAAAAACAACAUACAUCACUAACUUUAUUUUUAACAAAAGUUCCUUUAACAACCCAAAUUUUUCGAGUUCUUCUUACCUUGGAUUUAUAAUUUUGAUGCAUCUUUCUAUUUUUAACAUUGCUUUUAUUAAAGUUUGUUUUAGCAUGUGAAUUAGGUUUAUUUGCCUUAGCAACCAAAUUUUCAAGUAUAUCAAUAUCAAACAUAUAACUUUUGCAUGACAAGCAUUCAACAGGUUCAAUAGUAGCAUUUGCAUCUUAUAAUUUAAUUUCUAAGGUAUUAACUCUAUUUCUUAAAACAACUUCAUCAUCAAGCAGUUUAUCAUAUUUUAACUUCAAUUCAUUAUGUUCCUUUUUUAAUUUUUUAUGAGCAGCAUCAAGUUUUUCAGAUUUAUUCAUCAAAUCAAAGAAAGCCUUUUGUAAAUCUAAUUCACUGGAUUCAAAACUGGAAUCACUUACUUGGCUUCCUGUAUCUUCAGAAUCUGCCAUAAGGCAUGGGUUGGCCUCUUCUUUUGUGUCACUUGUGCUUGUUGAAUUAGAAGCAUUAUCCUCCCAAGCUAUGUAUUCUUUAUUUUUCCUUUGAAACUUUCUUUCCUUCUUGUCUUCACUUUUCUUGCUCUUUGGACACUCAGAUUUUACGUGCCCUCUUUCUCCACAACCGAAGCACUUNNNNNNNNNNNNNNNNNNNNNNNNNNNNNNNNNNNNNNNNNNNNNNNNNNNNNNNNNNNNNNNNNNNNNNNNNNNNNNNNNNNNNNNNNNNNNNNNNNNNNNNNNNNNNNNNNNNNNNNNNNNNNNNNNNNNNNNNNNNNNNNNNNNNNNNNNNNNNNNNNNNNNNNNNNNNNNNNNNNNNNNNNNNNNNNNNNNNNNNNNNNNNNNNNNNNNNNNNNNNNNNNNNNNNNNNNNNNNNNNNNNNNNNNNNNNNNNNNNNNNNNNNNNNNNNNNNNNNNNNNNNNNNNNNNNNNNNNNNNNNNNNNNNNNNNNNNNNNNNNNNNNNNNNNNNNNNNNNNNNNNNNNNNNNNNNNNNNNNNNNNNNNNNNNNNNNNNNNNNNNNNNNNNNNNNNNNNNNNNNNNNNNNNNNNNNNNNNNNNNNNNNNCAUUCUAAAUAUCUCAUAUUCCUGAAUGAGAGUGUUCUUCCUAGCUCGUUUCACGUCCUCUGUUCCUUCAUGAGUGAAACUGAGGACUUCCCACAUUUCCUGUGCUGUCUUACACACUGAAAUUCUAUAAAAUUCAUCAAGUACAACAACAGAUGAAAUUAUAUUGCGAGCUUUAAUAUCAAACUGAGCUCGUCUAUUUUCUUCAGUAGUCUAAUUAAAAUAAGGUUUUUCUAUCUCUACACUUUCAACAGUAUUCAUAGGAAUAUAAGGACCAUUUUGUACAGCUUCCCAGAUGCCUCUAUCAACAGUCCCCAUAAAAAUUUCCAUCUACAGCUUGAACUAUGAAUAUUCAAUAACUCUCUUAACUCAAGGAUUUUGUGAUCCAGAAAAACCAAUGUUCUUCUUAGCCCAACUUCAAUAUAAGCCAUGAAAAGUCCUUGUGAUGAUAACUUACUUGUGAGUAUGAUUAAUUAUGGUUAAAUGAAAGGCAAAGUUAAUUUGUGUGACAUUGUGAUAGUAGAGAGAAUGAGUAAUGAGUCGAUAUUUUCUUGACUGUAUUUAGUUUAUUAUGCUAGAAUUAAUCAGGAAAUUGUGCUUAAUUGUCCGGUAUUUUCCCGUUUCUCCUAAUUGUGCUUAAUUUGACCGAAAAUUCUAAUUUUAAUUAAUUUGAAUUUUUUGAGCUAAUUAAUUGCAUUAUUUAUUGCAAGAAAAUUUUGGAGAUACAAUUUUGGACAUUAGAGAAGAUAUCAAUUCAUCCAAGAGUCUCCAAUUAGACAUUUUAAAUUUUAGUUAUAUUGUAAUUUAAUUGUUUAAAGUUUUUGGACAAACUUUUGCACAUUGGGCCAUUAAAAUUAUGAGGGACCCAAAGAUUGUAGGACACUGGGCACCCUAGGUAUUUUUUGUGGGACCCCACCCUCACAAUAUAGGAUAUUCGGUGCUUGAGAAAGGGCUGGCAGUCGCCCCUCUCUCUUUUGUUUUCUUUGGCUUUGAUCAUUUUUUUGAGAAGGAACUCAUGAAUGCUUGUACGCUGGUUUUCAAUGCUUGAAUGAAAGAAGGCUUUUUCUUUUUCUUUUUUUUAUUUUGUGCAGUGCUGCAACUUUUCUUUUCUUUGGAGCUUUUCAUUGAUUGAAAACGGUGCAACACAUUACGUUCUAAGAGAGUCCAGCCACCACUUACAUUGCUUUUUGGCUUGUUACUUUUUUAUUUUUUGUUUUAAGCACUUUUGCAUUGGGAAUUUUUCUCUACCUUUUGACUCCAAGCAUCAAUUACGUCUUGCACCAUUACAUAGAAAUAGGCACAUUCAAUUUGAAAGCCAUGGUCACAUCAAGCAAUUAAAUGAGAAGCACGGUUAUAACAUUUGGGAGAAUUCAUUUUCAAUUUCGUAGAGUACCUACUUUCAUUCAUUUUGUUAUUAAAUGCUUUGUAGAUUUCUUUUCUUUGGGCAUGAAGAAGUAGAUUAGGUUGAGGUCUAUGGUGAUGGGACGGUUGGGCUAUAGGUGUAGCAAUGUUUUUCUUUUACUUCUUUGAAGAAUGAUGAGGUGAUUAGAUAGGUUAGGUAUGCUUGUACGGUGGUGGUGUUGAGAGAAGAAAUUUCAUUUAUUGCUUGGAGGAAGUGGUUUACGGCUGGAAGCAAAUGAAAGCCUAUUUCUUGGAGAAUGAAAUGGGAGAUGGCAUGAAGGGAGAGUGUCUCGGUUGGAUCACCCAUUCUUUUGGGAUUUUUAAUUGGAAAAACACAUUUCUAGUAGAUGCCAUUUGCAGUUUUAAUUUCAUUUGGUAGAUGCACUUGGUCACAUAAAUUGCUAGUAGGAAAUUGUGUUUGUUUAUUUCUUUUGUUUUAAAUUAAUUUGCAUAGUAGGUUGAUUUUUUUUCAUCUCUUUAAUUUGGUGUUGCAUUUUAAUCAUUCUAAUUGAGCUAGAUAUUUGUUUGUCACAUUGUUAGGGUCUUGUAUUUUAUUUUGUUUUAAUGUUUUCUAGUAUGUUUGGUAGCGAUAAUUUAACUGUCAUGUAGUUUAGGUUAGUCAGGUUGGUCAUUAAAAAAAUUGCUUUGUUUCCUUGAGAUUUCUUAGACUGUUCUUGUGUUUAUUCUGCUCUGCCUGAUACUCUAUGAAAUCUGACUGUGUUCUUGUAAUGGGUAUACGCUUAGUUGCCCGAUUGGUGAUUUCAUCUGCGCUUAGUUGAUCAAUCUGUAUAGAACACAUUGGAUGGAAUAGGUGUAUUGCAUUCACUUAGUUCGCAAUUAUGAUAGCAUGAUUAACCUUCGCUUAGUCGGUAAGUUGUGCUGGAUUAGAGGCUAGACCAAUUUAUUCAUGAGACUCUUGCACUUUAAUUGCCAUGUUGCUGCUCUGAUUUCGCUCAAUAUUUAAUUUGUUGUGUGCCUGCGAUUAGGUAUACACUUAGUUUCCUAAUCGGUGUCAAAUCUUCGCUUAGUUGAUUAGACUGCAUGAUGGAUGACUGAUUAAAUUUGUGCAUUGCAUUCGCUUAGUCUACAAUUUUGAUGACCGAAUUAGCGUUCACUUAGUUGGGUGAUUCGUGCCGGAUUUGGAUUAGAGUAGUGUGUACUUAUUGUUAAUCUGUGAUUGGAAGCAUAGUAAUUGAGUUAAUGACCAACCGUUUUCAUUCUGCAUUUGAUUCCAUUUUUACAUCUGUGUUUGCAAUUUCAUUUUUACAUUUCUGUUGCAUCCGUGUUUUAAUUUAGUUUAUCCCCCUACUACGUGUUAGACCUAAUUCAUGAACCACAUUUGGUCCUUGAGAGACGACCUAGGAGUCACUUCCUAGUCUAUACUGCAUUCUUUUAUGCACAUUAAAUUUUGCAUGGGGUGCGACACCCAUCAGUGAUCAGGGACGGAUGUCCGAGUGGUGUCCUGCUACUCACAGUAGUAGCGCAGCUCUAAAUCUCGUCGGCGAUAACCUUACCGACGUUAACAUCCAUCUGCCUCAAUAUGCAGUAGAUGAAGAGAAUUCGGUGCAUCGUGAUGUCUGAGACAUUGGGAGCAUGGUUGUACGUUGGCAUGAGUGAAUGUCAUCCAGUACUUUGCUAGGGGAGCCAAAUCCACCCUAAGGAAGUUGACUGGCGCUCCAUUAGGGUUCCUCUGAAAGUGUCUCCCAGGGAUACACAUCACCCUCUCGAUGUCUUCAUAAUCCUUGUGCUCCCCUAUAAGAGCAGCAUACCUACACUGCUCUCCUGGCCACUCAGUCCUCAAGAAGUUGUUGAUGGUGUCAGGGUCGUAUCUGAUAAUCUGCACCCUUACGUAGCUCAUAUACCUCCCUGCUAAUACUCCUCCUCUGGUCAAGGCAUUGGCAUAAAAUUCCUUCACCAGCUCAAUGCUAGCUGGUGCAGGAUAUGUGGUCAAUCUCUCCCAGCCUCGCCUCUCUAUCUCCAGUCCAAACUCUUGAGCUAAGUCAGGAAUGUACAUGGCCUUUCUCUCCAUCAAUAAUUGCCUCUCCUGUACAGUUGCAUAAUGCUCCUCGUGCCUCUUGGAAAGGAACCUAGAAGAAUAAAAUCUCCUUGGCCUUUCUGGCUCCUUUCUGGUUCUCACUCUUUUGGAGGUAGACAUCCCUGUAUCAAAUGAAUUCAAAAACAUCAUAAAAACAUCUUUAGAGGUUAGUACAUCAUCAAUUUAAUUUCCAGAACACACAUAGUUCAGUAUUGAGGGAAAAACAGGGCCCCUAAGUGUCUGAUGGAAGAUGCCUUGAGGAGUUGACCAAUUGGCGUGACACGAAAGCAGGUAAAGCUCCUCCAAGCUUCUCCGACGAGAGAUACGCAGUGAAAAUGAGACGAAUACUUUAGAUCGAGAGAGAAAUUGGAGAGGAAUGAUAACGGUCUAAAAACCGUUAUUUUCAUGCUUAAAUUUGAUAGUAAAACACACCCUUUAUGGCUUAGAAUUAGCUUUAAAUCAAGUAAAAUACUUUGUUGUGUCUUGUGAGAGUCAAAAGUUGGUUUCAGAGAUAUUAUUGCUUGUUCAACAUUGUUUUGUAGGGUUUGUAGAUGAAUUAAAGAUGGAAGUGAAGUAAGGUGGACUUAGACCCAUUAAAGAAGGAGAAAAAUGAUGAAAAGAAGGGUCAAGCAAGCCGCUGAGCGCCAAAAUGGUCCGUUGAGCGCUCAGAGCGAUUAGAGGGAAACCGCUCAGCGGCAAACUGCUAAGUGGUGAAUUUAGGCGCCUGGGCGGUUGUCUGUUUUUUUAGCUAGAUUCUGUAAAUAUUUCUAUAAUCUAUCUGUUAUAUGCGAAUUAGAAGGGGAUUCUUUUGGCAGAGAGAAACGUCCAGAGCUAUUCCACACACCUUGGAGGAGGUUCCUUGGAUGCUUAGGCUCCAAUCAACCAAGUUUAGGGUUAUUUCUUCCCUUGUUUCAUGAUUUUCAUCUAGUUUCACCAUGAUUAUGGUGAACUAAACCCUUUGUUGUUGGGGAACUAUGUAAUCUUUUGAAACUCUCAUAUAUUCAACCUUUUAUUUAUUUCAUAUGCUUGUCAUAUACUUGUUUAUCAAUUGUUGGGUGCUCAUCUAUGCUUAAUGCUUUUAUUGUUUAACUCAUUCAGUAAAAGAAGUUUGUCUUUAUCGAUAUGGGGACGUACAAUAAUGUCAUGAACUGGCGAGAAAUUCCUUGAUUAUGCUAAUAUUGCCUAAGGAUAGGGGUAUGAUGGUCAAUUGCAUUUGCUUCCGAUCGCAUUGCAUUAUUGGUUACUAGGGGAGGCUAGGGAUAGCAAGUCGGUAAUUAAUUAUAGGCUCUUUUCACCAAGGGAUUGGGUUAAGGGUAAAUUAGAAAGUUUGCAUGAUAAAUAAGUGAAGUAAAUAAGAAGAGUAGAUACAUGAGAGUGGAUAAGAUGAAAUUGUAAACCCCAACAACAAUAUUCAACCAUAGUUUCUCAAAACCAAUUGAAUCAACUGCAUUGCAUGUUUAUUUUUGUUCUUUGCAUAUAACCACCAAAUUUAUUCUCCUCUCAAGUCUUACAAGAUUUGUUUACAUGAAAGUUAAGGCCUAAGAGUGCUUUGGGAAAACGAUACUCGAACUUACCCGUUUAUCUUACUUGAUAACGAUCUGGUACACUUGCCAGGGACUUAACAAGUUGUUGGUGUCGUUGCCAAGGACUCGUGGUUUAACUUAUCUAGUAGUGUAAACUGAUUAAGUUUGACUUGNUUGUAUAUAUCUUUUUAUCUUUUUAUCUUUUUUAUUUUUUUUUAAAUAUAAAAAAAUGGUACUAGGGUUUAUGUUUCUUGUGCAUGCAGCAGGAGCCCAUACAUACUAGGAGCAAGAAAAAUACGCAACCUCUUCUUGAAGGCUUAAGCGAGGCAAGGGGGAGAAGGAGAGUCAGACACCCAUCUAGGGAUUUCUUUCCUUCCCCUGAAAGAUUACUAUCACCUUCACUAGAUAGAAGAACAAAGGAGAUGGUUGAAAGAACUCCUCCAAGACGCACUCUUGCACACCAAUCAAAUGCGGUUGGCCCUUUCCAUUUUAACAGCAUAGUUAUGCCUACAGAUCAAACGACCAACAUGGUGAUGAAUCCAACACUUAUACACUUGGUGCAAAGCAAACCGUUUCAUGGUCUGUCAAAUGAGAAUCCCUACGACCAUUUGACAGUGUUCAGUGAAAUAUGCAACAGAGUGAAGAUGGCUGGUGUAUCAGAUGAUAGAGUGAGGCUUAGCUUGUUUCAUUUCUCAUUGGAGGGCAAUGCUAAGACAUGGCUCAACUCUUUUCCUGAAGGGACAUUUACAACAUGGGAAGUUGUGGCUACAAAGUUUGUCAACUAAUAUUUUCCACAGUCCAAAGUUACCCAGGGAAAGUUGGAGUUCUCAUCAUUUAAACAAGGCAUGGAAGAAACUCUAAGUCAAGCAUGAGAGCGAUUCAAAGGAUUACUCAGGAAAACACCAGUUCACGGAUUUGACAAGACAACCAUUAUUCUUGCCUACCUUGGUGGACUGAAUAUGCAGUCGAAGAUGAUGUUGGACGCCUCAGCUGGAGGUGAUAUCAAACAGAAGACUGAGGACGAAGCCUAUGAUUUGAUAGAGAGUAUGGUAGCUAAUAGACAAGAAGCAUAUAGUGAAAGGGGCGCACCGACCCAAUAGAGAGGAGUCUUGCACUUACCUACAAAUGAUGCAAUGCUAGCUCAAAAUCAUCUUUUGACCCAAAAGCUAGAUACAUUGACAAAGAUUCUCUCACAACUUCCAAAGGAUUUUCGUAAAGUCUCUCAAGCACAACAGUUAUGUGAUCUUUGUGGUGGUGACCAUAUUAAUGGUCAAUGUGCUAUACCUGAGGAGAUGCAGCAGGAAGCUAACUAUACGGGGAACCAAUACUAGUAUAGACAAGGGAAUUUCAACCAAGGCAAUCUUAGCCAAGGUUGGAAGAAUCAUCCAAGUAUUGGCCAACAACAGAAUAACCCAUCAGGGCAACAAGGAGGCUUCAGGUAGCAACAACCUUUAACUAUGUGGCAACAGGUUUCACAUUUAACAGAGUUUGUCAAAGAUAUGAGUGAAAGAUUUGAUAAAUUCAUGAAAGUCUAUGAGUCCAAUCGAGCAAGUGAUCAAGCUAUUGUUAGGUCAUUAGAGAUGCAAAUUGGACAGUUGCCAAAAAGAGUAGAAACCACUGAAAAGAACCAGUUUAGGGCUAAUACCGAUGUUAACCAUUAGGAAGAAUGCAAAGUUGUGGUGACAAGUGAUGGAGGAAGGGCUGACAGGGAAGUUGUAGAGAUUGGAAGCAGUGAUCAAAAGGAGGAAGGUGGAGCCAUUGAGAGUAGCAACAGCUGUGGAGAAGAAGAAGCAGAGGAAACAAGAGAUAGUCAUAAUGAGCAGAAAAGAGAAAUUUAUAAUCAAAUGACUAUUAUGCCUUCAAUUAUUAAACAGAUUCCUGCAAGAAUGAAAUUUUAUCUUGGAGAUAUGAUAGAUUUAGAUGAGGAUGAUGAUGAGCAGGAAUUUGAGAUUCAACCUCCGAAGAAUUAUCCGCUUAAAGUAAAAGAUCCAGGGUGCUUGAAUUUAGCAUGUAUGAUCAAUGAUGUUGAUAUAGGAGAAGCAAUGAUAGAUUCUGGAUCUAGCAUUAACAUGAUGCCCAUGCGUUUUUUUAAGAAAAUUGGAGGGCUAACAUUAAAGCCAUCUAAUCUCAUAGUGACAAUGGCGGAUGGUUCAGUUAAAACACCAUUUGGCAUGGUGGAAAAUGUGGUUGUUCAGGUGGAGUAGCUAGAAUUUUUAGCUGAUUUUAUCAUCACGAGCAAGGAAGAUGAGGAAAGAAUUCCAGUAAUUCUUGGAAGACCUUUCAUGGCAACAUCCAAGAUGUCUAUUAGUGUCCAUGAUGCAAGGAUCAUGAUGAGAGAUAAAGAGAAUAUACUCUUUUAUACUGGAUUUAAAGAGAGAAGUACUAAAAUUAAAAAGAGAGCCAGACAUAAAAAAUCAAGAAGAGAAGUUGCACCAGAGGACAACACAACAGGUAACAAUUCUAAUAGUUGUAAUGUUUUGCAAGUACCUAAAGAUGAAGAGGUUGACAAAGGAGGCACUAUCCACACUGAAUAUACACCACUUCCAAUAGGAGCACAAGUGAGAUUCAAGAAUAAGAAGUGGCUUGUUAUUAAGAUUCGGGAAGAUGGCAAGUUGGAAAUUAGGAAACCAUUCACAAGAGCCAUAAAGAAAGUGGAUAGAAAGCAACUGAUGAGUUGGGUUGAUGAAGAUCCCAACCGGGAUGGAAUGAAUUGAUUUUAUCUAAAUCCCACUUUGUAUAAACAUUUUGUAGUUUUAGGGUAUUUGAUUUUGUACAUGUACUUUAUUGAAUUUUUGAACACUUUUGGGGUAGCAUCUAGUGAGGGAUGCUAAAUCUCUUAUGUGUCCACUGAAGGAUACAAGGUAAGUACACCUACUGAAGGGUGUUGGAAGGAUAAGCACUUACUGAAGAGUGCUAAACAGAUUUGGGUCAGGCUCGUGACGUUAAACAAACGCUACCUAGGAGGCAACCCAGUUGUUUGUUUUGUUUUUAAUCCAGUGUUAAGUGCAUUACAUGCUAAUGAUUGCAUCUGAGAGGGGAAAGUCAUAUAUUUGAAAAUUGAAGGUUGGAAUUGAGUGCUAGAAAGAAAGAUUACUCAAAAGAAAGCAAAAGAAGAAGAAGUGAAAUUAGGUGCAGACCACUGAGCGGUUGCGGCGCUAAGGGUCUCGGUUUUGAUUAAAAGCUGAGCUGUUUUUCAAAUUUUUCACUUUGAAACCCUUCUUUGCAUUUCGCCUGAGCGGUCUCCCUAAGCCCUAACACUCUCCUGUCAUUCUAAAGAGAUUUUUAGAGAGAUUUCCUCACUUUCUCUUCACCCGCUCAGCAAAAAUUCAAUUUUCUACCUUUGCUUUGAUAAGUUUUGGGGUUUUUGGUUGAAACACUUGCAUUGGAGAGGACAUCCAUCAUCAAUUAAGAAAUUUUUCUGCAAGCAUUCACAACAAUCUUCACUCAAGUAAGUAUGCAAACUCAUGUUUAGGGUUUCUAAUUUGGGGAUUUGUUGAUGAACAUGCUUAGGAUCAUGAUAAAUUAGGGCUUUUGAUUUCUAAGAAUGAAUUGAUAGAAUAGGAACUGUUUGAACCGAUUGAAUUGCAUGAUUGUGGUCUGGAUUGAUGAAAUUAGCAAAAGAGUGGAGAUUAGGAUCAUUUAGGAAAGAAUUUUGAAAAACCCUAGCCGCCACCGCUGAGCGGUCUGUUUUGGCGUUGAGCGGUGGCGCGACUUGAGGCAAACCGCCUGGGCGGUGUUCAUGGACGCUGAGCGGUCUGCAACUGUUUUGCCUAAAUGUUGAAAUUUUUGAUGUUUGUGUGUUGGGGAGCCCUGUUUUUCCUCAAAGAAUUGUAUGAUCUGAUGAUGCACUAACCUCUAAUGAUGUUUCUGUGAAUUUUGUUGGAUGAAUUUGAUUUAUGCAAGAAUGUAUACCUCAAGAAGAGUUAAGACAAUGGGCAACAAAAGGAAGGAAUCAAAGAAACCUAGGAGAUACUAUUCUUCAAGGUUCCUUUCAAGGAAGCAUGAAGAACAUUUUGCUAUAGUCUAGGAGAGGCGAUUGUUGAUGGAGAGAAAAACCAUGUACAUCCCUGACUUGGCUCCAGAGUUUGGUUUGGAGAUUGAAAGGCAAGGAUGGGAGAGACUGACAACUUAUCCAGCACCAGCCAGUAUUGUGUUGGUGUAGGAGUUCUAUGCUAACGCCUUGCCGAGAGGAGGAGUGUCCGCAGGGAGGUACAUGAGCUAUGUACGUGAGCACUUGAUCAGCUAUGAUCCUGAUACCAUCAACGUUUUUCUAGGGAUUGAGUUGCCAGGAGAGCAGUACAGGUAUGCUACUAUACUGGGGGAGGCCAGGGAUUGUGAGGACAUUGAGCGAGUGAUGUGUAUCCCUGGGAUGCACUUUCAGAGAAACCCUAAUGGAGCACCGGUGAACAUCCUUAGGGUAGAUUUAACUCCCCUAGCUAAAUACUGGAUGACAUUUACUCAUGCCAACAUUCAGUCACGCUCUCAUGUUUUCGACAUCACUUUACAUCGGAUCCUGGUCAUUUAUUGUAUGUUGAAGUAGAUGGAUGUGAAUGUUGGUAAGAUCAUUACCAGCGAUAUUUUGAGCUACGCCAUCACUGAGAUCAGCAGGACGCCACUGGGACAUCUGUCCCUAAUCACAUAUUUUUGCCAGUAAGCAGGAGUGGACACUUCAGUUCCACCCUUUGAGAGGCCGAGGAGAGCUAUUAGUGCCUCCUAUUUUCAUCAGUAUUGUAGAGGUUACGAGUUAGCUGGAGCAAUCCCUAGGAGGGCAAUAGCGUAGCAGGAGGAUGGGCCUGCAGAUGCACCAGGACAACAGCCUGAGCCCUUUUAGAUGAGAGACAUGUACAUGUCUAUGAUGGAGGCGAGGAUGGAGUCCCUUUGCAGAGGGUAGGUGGCCACUGCCGAGAUGAUCAUAGGACUUUAUGACUAGCCACCAGUGCACAGGUGGACUAUGGACGAGUUCCGUAGUGUGAUGGCUUAGCCUCAAGGACAGGCACAUGGUAGUGGGUCUGGAGCAGUUGGGACCUCAGGAGGACAGGACGAUGACCAGGAGGAUGAAGACUUUGAGGAUGCCCAGGAGGAUGAGGAGGAUGACUCAGAUGAGGAUUUACGCUGAUGGCAUCUAUUGAUGGAUGCUAGCAUUUGGAUAGGGAUUUUUCUUUUUCUUUUUCUUUGUACUUUGAAUUAGUAGUGUAGGUUACAUUUAUGUUUGAGUCUAUGCUUGACGUGUACACUUAUUUGGAUAAUGGUUCAAUUUUAUUGCAUGAUGAGUUGUUUACUAUUGAUGAUUGACUGUGGAUGACGAUUGAGAAUAUGUGAAUGUUGAUAUCCAGGUUGAUGGUUCACUAGCUAUGUGAAAAAAUGAGUAAGUGAUUCAUGAUUGUGAUUUUGAUGCUAAGCAGGAUUCAUGUGAGAAGUGAGAAAGCCUGAUUAUGUGAGGUAUUGAGCUUCAGAGUUUUAUUCUUGUGUGCAAUGUUUACAGGGAAUCAUGUAUGGUAUUGACUUAAUCUUGAUAAUUGAUUGAAUUGCAUGUGUAUGUCAUAUGAUUAAGGCCAUGCUUGGAAAGCCCUUAGCCAAAUUUUCACCCAAAGAAUUUUAAAUGAUAUGCCCUUUUUGAACCUUGACCUUAAACAAUAUGAAAACCCUUGUUUGAAUUGAUUUACCUUGAGUUAGGGUUGAGAAUAAUUAUGUGUUGAAAAGGUUCAAGUUUGGGGUUGAAUGGGGAAAGUGAAAGGGAAAAAAAAGAAAAGCAGUGAGUUCCAAAGAAUGAAAAAAUGCAUGAGAAAGAAAAGAAAAGAAGAAAAGAGAAAAACAUGUAAAGUGAACUCAAUGUAAAAUGAAAAAGGGAAAAAGUUAGGAGUAAGUGAGAUUGGUUAAAAAAAGAGAGUGUGGUUCAACUUUAAAUGAUGAUUUAAACUGUCUUAACUCAAGGAUUUUGUAUUCCAGAAAAACCAAUUUUCUUGAUACCCCAGCCACAAUACAAGCCUUGGAAAAAGUCCUUGUGAUGACAUGUGCAUGUGAAGAUUUUGAUUGUUUGAGAUUAAUGACAAUAUUGUUUUAUGUGACAUGUGAGCAGUAGAGAGUAGAGUGACCUCCUAAACACUUGAGUGAUUGAGUGAAACACUUGCUUGGUGAGAAUUGUUAAAUCCAUGUUUACAUCUAUGUUUAGUUGAUUGAUCAUUCAUGAACAAAACAUCUAUUGGAAAAAGAUUGAUUAUGUGAACUAAGGUUGAUUGAAAGUAUGUAUGCAUCUUUGUAGGAUUCCACUGAAAUUUGAAUUGUAUAAUAACUGGUCAUGAGAAAAAGGAGUUUUGAAAAUUGUGAAUUAUUUGAUGAAGAAGUGAAAAGCCAAGUUUUGUCUUCUUUGCUUGAGGACAAGCAAAGUUCUAAGUUUAGGGUUGUGAUAAUGGUCUAAAAACUGUUAUUUUCAUGUUUAAAUUUAAUAGUAAAACACACCCUUUAUUGCUUAGAAUGAGUUUUAAAUUAAGAAAAACACUUAGCUGUGUCUCGUGAAAGUCAAAAGUUGGUUUUAGAGAUAUUAUGCUUGUUCUACAUUGUUUUGCAGGGUUUUUAGAUGAAUUAAAGAUGGAAGUGAAGUAAGGUGGACUUAAACCCAUGAAAGAAGGAGAAAAAUGAUGAAAAGAAGGGUUAGGCAAGCCGCUGAGUGCCAGAAUGGUCCGUUGAGCGCUUAGAGUGAUUAGAGGGAAACCGCUUAGCGGCAAAACUGAUCGCUGAGCGGUCAAAGUAGCACAAGGCAAACCGCUGAGCGGUGAAUUUAGGCGCCUGGGCGGUUGUCUGUUUUUUUAGCUAGAUUCUGUAAAUCUUUCUGUAAUCUAUCUGUUAUCUUUUUGGGCUUAUAUGCGAAUUAGAAGGGGAUUCUUUUGGCAGAGAGAAACGUCCAGAACUAUUCCACACACCUUGGAGCAGGUUCCUUUGAUGCUUAGGCUCCAAUCAACCAAGUUUAGGAUUAUUUCUUCCAUUCUUUCAUUAUUUUGAUCUAGUUUCACCAUGACUAUGGUGAACUAAACCCUUUGUUGUUGGGGAACAAUGUAAUUGAUGGGUAUCGCGGCCCAUACAAAUUUGAUUGCAUAUUAGGAAUGCAGUAUAACUAGGAAGUGACUUCUAGGUCGUCUCUCAAGGACCAACUACGGUUCAGAAUCAGGUCUAACACGAAGUGGUGGGGGGGUUUGUGAAAAGUUUGUGAAUGCGGAUCUAUCAUGAUAAUUAAAGUGACACGACCAAACCUACUAGGAAAUAUUAAAAUAAAUGAAAUUGCUAAACCCAACAUUACAUAGACAAUUUUCUAGUACAGUUAAAAUUAUUAGAAUGCAACACUAAAUUAAAGAGAUGAAAGACAACUCAACCUACUAUGUAAAAUUAAAUUAAAGCAAAAGAAAAAAACAACACAAAUUACUUUUAGCAAUUAACCUAUGGCAUCUACCAAAUGAAAUUAAAUUUGCAAAAUGGCCUAAAGAACCCCUUGGUCGUGACCUUCCUUGCUUUAUCAUAAAUCAUGCUUCAUCAUAGAAAUGAAAAUGUGCUUAUCAAAUAAAAAAAAAAACCGUGACAUCAACAUAACCAAUGUACUCUUUCUCCAAGAAAACAAAAGUUCAAUUUUCCUCCAAAGCACCGCUUCAUUAUCCUAAAGAAAGUAAAAUAACGUGGUGGCUGUUGCAGCCAAGCAACCUAUUUCUACAAGUAAAAAAAAAUGCUAAUACUUAAAGUGGGACAAUGGUUGCAACUACAUUAUGUCCUACUCUCACUUUUUCCAAGCAAUGCAUCAAAAUACUUGUCUCAAAAUCACAACCGUACACCUACCCUCUUCUCUUAUCUAAUCAACUCAUCAUUCUUAAAGAAAUAAAGAAAAGAAAAAAAAAGAAAGAAACUUCAUCUCUGUAACGUCCCAUCACUUCUAUUCCCACCUAAUCUACUCUUCAAUUCAACAAAGUAAAAGAAAAGCUAAAUAAAUGUUAACCAUCAUUCACUCAAGGUACUUUUGCAUUCAAUGAAAAUAAAGAAAUCAUCACUUCCAGGCAUCAUUCCGUUCCAUGAAUAAUAAAAUGGUUCCAGCACUUUUCUCAAAAGCAAUUGAAUACACUAAGAAUUGAUGGUUGACCGUCCUCCACCCUUCUAGAAGUAAAGAAGACAAAUGUUUCUCCAUUCAUCUAUUUGGAACCGUGAACAACUGCUGCCAGCCCUCCCAUCAAUCAACGUUUUCAGUGUACCAAAAUAAAGAUGCUCCAGCUAGGUGAAAAAAGUAGCAUUUUAAUCCAAGCCAAACCUCAUUCCAGUGCAGUAGAAAAUGAUAAAUGGAAAAGAAAUGAAUGCUCUAAUUAAAAUCUGAUGCAAUGUUGCUUGUGGAAAAGAAUGCUUCUCCCAUUCAUCCAUAAUCCAUCAAUGUUGGCAUGAAAAAUAAUGCACUAAAAAACGUUCCAGCCUCCCUACGUUGCAACAGCCAAAUUACUUAAGUGUGACAACUGCACCUCUUUUGCUAGGGCCGUUUGACUCCAAAAAAUUGAGAUGGGGUCCACCUAUUUGCAAAACCCUAGGUGCCAUGUCAUGUUUCCUAUUUGGGCUCAAACUAUUCUGCCAAAAGUUGGCCCAAUGUUUACAAGUUUAAUUAAAAACUAUCUAGACUACUAAGUUACAAUGUAAUUAAAUUUAAAAAAGUCUUUGUGUAGAGUCUUAAAUGAAUUGAUGUCCUCUGUAAUGUCCAAAAUUGUAUCUCCAAAAUUUUCCCUGCAAUUAAUAAUGCAAAUAAUUAGCUCAGAAUAUUCAAAUUAAUUAAAAUUAGAAUUUCCAGUCAAAUUAAGAACUAUUAGCAAAAACAUAAAAAUACCGGACAUUUAAGCACAAUUCCCUGCUUAAUUCUAGCACAAUAAACUAAGUGAAAUCAAUAAAAUAUCGACUCAUCAAAAUAGACCACCCUUAGUCUUUUGCACUCCUGGGCAAAAUCAAGACGAAAAUCAGGGAACAGUUCAACGAACAUCAGGGAAUUGACACAGACUCAACAGACAAAAUUACAGUCCUCAAGAAAUCUGGACAAGGAAAAGUAGUAGACAGUAUCCACACAGAAUCAGAGAAAAUAGAUCUUCAUGAAGUCAUCCAAGCAAUUCUAAGCAUGGCAAAAUAAUCAAUCAGUUCAAGAGGUGAAUCAAAAGCAACAAAACCUCACAGAUGCACACUAUUAGUGUUUCUCUCAAGUGUCUAGGGUAAAUAGUUUCAACUCAAUGUGCUCAAGCAAGCAAACACAAACAGACUUGGCAAGUCUCUAAUAUCAACACUCAAGAGAUAUGCAUAUUCAAAUCAAAAGGUCCUUUAUGGAUGUAAUGGGGUCAAGGACAAGGAAGGAGAUAAUAUAGAUGAGAAGCUACAAACCAAAAGAAAUAGACGAGCAAUGGGGAACAAGUGUAAACACAGUCAAUUAACACCCAAACCCUCUAAUUCAAUCCUUUUCUUGACUCCGUUAUUCACACAUUUUUUUUUUAAUUUUCUCACUUUUCUGUAUUUUUUUUCUUUUUUUUUUUUCAUCUUGUCUCUUUUCUUUUCAAUCUAUGUAAGACAAACUGUAAGAGACAAGAUAUACACAACAUAUUUACAAAAAGAAAAGCAAGAAGAGGAACCAACUAGCCAAUUCAUCUGAAUCCCCCGGGAGACCACACUUAUUCCCAAAACAAUUCCAAAGCUCCAAAAUUCCCCAAGGUUAAGGUAAUCAUGGCUUUUCACUUAGGGCUAAUGUAUUAGCUUCAAAACAAAGAAAUGGAGAAAGUAUAGGCUCAAAGGGGCUAUCAAAGGAUCAUAACAAGGUAGGCUCAUCUGGCUAGAGAGGCUAAACAACAAAACUGCCUUUAUCACUUUCAAACAUGCAUAUCAAUUAAGAAUAAUGAACAAGAGUCAAGCCAAGGCAUAUGUGCAAGCAAUCAAGAGACAUAUCAUACACAAGAAAGAAUAUCAAGUGGCCCAAAUUCUCACACAGGGUAUUUCUGUCACAAUCAAUCACCCUCUCAAACAUCAUAAUCAUCUUCCCAAGCAAAGAAAAGCAUGAAUUCAGACUAAUCAGAGUACUAAUAAAAUAAAAGACAAGUCUACAACCUAAACCAAGUCUAGAAAUCAAGAGAAACAUGUAAAACUAUAUACAAGACACUACAAAAACUAUCUAGAAAACAAAAAAUUUAAUGCAAAAAAAAAAACAUAAACUAAUCAAAGAAAAAUCAGAAUCUCCCCUAAUAGACCACACUCAAGACAUAUGCUGGAGGUGACGAGUCUGUGAAGAAAGUGGUAAACUAUGGAGAAAAUGGUGGAUCUAGGAUGAAGAUUGGUUUUCCGGAGAAGAUGAACUUACGAGAGAGAAACUUACUCUCGGGGAAGAAGACACGAUGAGUAAAAUGUGAGGAAUGAAUGGAAUGUCUGAAGCAUGAAUGAGAAUUGUUGAGGCUGACACGUGAGCAAAGACAUGUCAGAGGAGGAAUAACUGAGGCUUGCACGAGAAACUGAAUAUUUGGCAGAUGAUGUGUGGCGUAGCAUGGAAGAGAGAUAAGUAAGGUGGAGCACGGUGGCAAAUUUGAAAAUGGAAAAUAGGAAGUGUGCUGGAAGGUGGCUAGAGGAGGUCCUUUGGACUCUCUAGCUCGACUUUCAAGAGAGAAUCAUUUUCUGGUUCAGAAAAACUAAUCCUCAUUAUUCUCAAAAGUGAAAAUACAAGAGAGGCUCUUAGGUAUUUAUAGUGACCCACACUCCUUGCAAGCUAAACUAUAGAUGCAAUAAAAUGUAAAAAUACAAUAAAAGAGGACUGUCAGGAAGGAUUCCAUCAUACCCUCCCUCUUAAAUAAAGAUUGUCCUCAAAUCUGGCAAUUGCCUUAUGGAGAAGCUCAACACAGUCUUGGGAGCAUGGCCAUUCUUGAAGUGGCCUUAUUCUUUUAUUCCUUGAGAUCUAUUGUUCUUCCUCCUGGAUCAAACACAGAUCUGCAAUACACAUGAAAUAUAUCUCCCAUUAAUAUCGAUCCAAGAAAGGAAUUUUCUAAAAUAACUUUGGAAUAAGGACUUCUUAUAGUUUGCUUUGAAGUUUUAAGAAUGGUAAGAAGUCCAAAUUCAAAAAUUACUUUGCUUUUGUCUUGAGUUAUUUGUUUUCUUGAAGAUAACAAUAACUCAAGAUUUGAAUUGCCAUAGUUUGAAAAGAUUUGCGUAAAAUAUGGUCUGGCAAUUGAUUUGAAAGAGAAAUUAGAAUUGGAAGAGUGAAUAAUGAUUGGAAAAGAUUGAAAACCUUCCCUUUUAAAAUUGGAUUCCAUGAUUGGAGUCAAAGUUGUUCUCAGUAGCACUUCCUCCUUCUCUUUGUUUUCCCUUUCUUGUCUUUCCUCUUCUUGUUCUUUUCUCUCUUUUUCUCUUCUCUCUUCUUUUCUUUUCUUUUCUCUCUCUUUCUUUUCUUCUUCUCUCCUCUCUUCUUCUCUUCUUAAAUCCUCUCUUCUCUCUUCUCUUCCCCUUUCCUUUCUUCCUCUUUUUUUUCUCUCUAUCUCUCUUUCUCUAUUCUUUUCCUUGAUCACUUUAAGUUUAUGCCCAAAUUCUAAUUCUCUCCUAAGAAACCCAUGAUCACUUAAACUCUCAAGAAACAUUUUUCCAUCUUCAAUGCAAUCUCUAAUUAAUUCUAAGUUUCUUUUAAUGCUUGAAGGCACAAACUUUCUUCUCAUGCAAGCUUUUAAAUGGGAGAUGUUGACGGAUUGGCAAGCGUACCAAAUCGUUCAAGUAAUAUAAUUGGUAAAACCCAAUAUCGUUCUUCCCAAGAGACUCGAAAGGCUUUCUCGUUCACGUGAAUUAAAAUAAUAAUACUUGAAAAUAAAAAUUAAAUAAUUGUUAAGGAGAAUAAAAAUAUGAACAUGCAAUAGAGAUUGAUUCAAUUUGCAAAAGGAAAACAAUGGAUGAAUGGACUUGUUGGGGGUUUACAAAUUCAUCUUAUCUACACUCUCUUAUUUACUCCUCUUGAAUUAUUAGUUUGAUUAAUUAAUUGUCAUGCAACUUUCUUAGCCUACCCCUAACCCGAUCCCUCGACGAAAAGAGCUUAAUAUUAAUUACUGGUUUGGUAACCCUAGCCUCCCCUAGCAAUUAAUACAACAUUAUAAGCAGAAGUUAAAAGCAAUUAAUCAUCCUACCCCUAUCCCUAGGUGGUAUUACAAAAUCAAGGAAUUACUCAUCAGUUCAUGACAUUACUGUACGUCCCCGUAUCAAUAAAGACAAUGAUCAGUUAUCGAAUGAGUUAAAUGAUAAAGGCCUUAAGCACAUAUGAGAACCCAACAAUUCAUCAAUCAAAACAUAUGGAAACCAUAUAAAUAAGAGUUUCAAUAAAAGAGAGUAUCAAAAUAUUACAUUGUUUCCCCCAAAACCAAUAGCGUGCUCACCAUAGACAUGGUGAAACUAGAUUGAAAAUGCAAGAAUAAUGGAAAAGCAAACCCUAGAAAAGAUGAAAAGGAGCCCAAGCAUCCAAGAGAUCCUCUCAGAGAGCAAAAUUAGGUCUGGUCGUUCUCCCAGUCAAAAGAAUGACUCUGAAAUCGCAAUAGGGGUAUUUAUAGGUGAGGAGCGCAGCAGAAAACAGGCCCAGGCCAAACGGACCACCGCCCGGCGGUUUAAGUGUGUCGCCCUGCGGUUUCCCAUAAUCCUCCAAACCGCCCGGCGGCAAUCGCCACCGCCCUGCGGUUUCCCUUAAAACCGCCCAGGGCCAACGCUUGUGCCUACUCCUCGCCCUGGAUCGCCCAACGGUGUAACUUGCCGUCGGGCGGUGCGUUGACUCUUCAAAUCUUCAAUUUUCUUCUCUUUUCUUGAGUCUACGACCUUUAUCUUCAGCUCUAUUCUUCAUUUCCUCAAAAUAGCUACAAAACAAUGCAAAGCAAGCAUAAUAUCGCUAAAAACAACUUUAGACUCUCUACAGACUUAUUUAUUGAGUUUUGCUUGAUUCUAAGCUCAUUCCAAGUAGUAAAGGGCGUAAUUAGGUCUAAAAUGACAUAUGAAAAUAACUGUUUUUCAACCUUCAUCAGGAGACUUUCUACCUUUCCUAACAUAAUAUUUCCUUUCAUCCCACCACUUACAUGCAUGUUCUUCUAACUAAGAGUGAUAAAUGCUAAGUACAUAAGACUCUCUCUCUCUAUGAGACCAAGAAUUUAUUUUAUCUAUCUCUUAUUCCCAAGCUAGGUAUGUUAAUGCACCUAUGUCUUUACCAAAGAAUGGAAGAUUCUUAGCUUGAUUAAACAUUUCAUCAACUUUAUCUAUCCUAGAAGACCUAUAUGAACUAUAACAAGACAUCUUUAUUUUUAAAAGUUCUCUUAAUCAACGACUAAAAGCUUCCACUUUAGACAAAUCCCAAGUAAGAGAGGUGAAUCACUAGGGUUGCUUAAAUAGCAAGUCUUGCCUUAGCCAGAUUUGCCUUAAGCUACUAACUACUUAUCCUUUAAACAAAAAUCACUUUUAAAAUCAAAGACACAACAAGCAAAGACAAUUGACGGACUCUAAGACCCCUAAAACGUAUGGACUCUAAUGUGACAAGAGUCACACCUACACGUGAAACACUAAAAUAACAUGCAAACAAGCAAGAUAAUUCUAACCCUAUGAUGAGCUUUGACUAAAAAGUCACUCAUGUAUCUGGCUAUGCAAAAAUUAGAGAAAGCAAUCAAGAAAAGUUGCAAAGAAUGGAAAGAGAACCAAGGACUCUUCCAAACUUGGACUUUAUAAAAAGGCCCUUUUACAAAACACAAAGCUAAGCUACCAGCUACACUGGGCUAACACAAGCCCAUCAAAUUACACCAAAACAACAAAAAAAUCAAAUACAAAGAAAACCAAAUAAAACUAUGUUAUUGGUCUUCAGCACACGUAUGCUACGACCCACAACUUCUGCAUUCUAGACAUUUUCUCUUGGCAGAUGUUGCUGUCACUGCACUAGUUCAAAUGUUGCAUUCAUCUCUCGGUUUUAAACUUGAAGCAGUUGUUCCAAGCCUGCAAACACUGAUACUGUAAAGACUAAAUCUAAUCCUAAAAAUUUUCAAGCCAUAACAAAAUCAAUUUAAUCAAUCAACUUCCCUAUUCAUUCUCUGACUUUCACGUGUUCACUUUUGAUCCUGGCAGGUCAGAGAAUGGCUUUUGUUCUCACGAAUAAACUGCAAGAAGAGUCACACCCAAUUCAGCAAAUUCCAAGCUAUAUCAGAAAUAGUUUAAACACUCAGAAGCAAGAUAGUUAAACACUUGCCUGUUUAGGCUGGUACACUUGAUGCAAGUCCUUGUGCCAAAACACGUAUACUCUUGAUGUUGUUGCUGGAUAACGUGGUUCAGUCUAGUUUCUGGCCAAUCCUACAAUAACGUAUGCACCAAACUGGUGUGAAUAUUCACUUAGGUAAAACAGAAUGCAAAAGAAGAUAUGGGGUAGUAAGAACUUCCCUUUCUCUUGGCUACACCAACUUUCCACUAAUAUUCUACUGCAGCUCACUAUCCUUUUCUCUCGGUUACAGCACUUGAUGCAGCUGUAUGACAUUCUUUUGCUUUCAAUUUGAAAUCCGCUGCAUAAAGAAUUCACACAAAUUUAAUAUACAACCAACAAUGCUGUCACUACAGAAUAACUAAUGACCCAUAGGAAAUUAAACUAGACGACUCCCUUCAGUGCAGAUGGAUGCUUCUAGCUCUUAAACUCCACAUAUCUCAGCAAAAAAACUUAAGCAUAUAUCAAAAGUUUCCACAGAUAAGCUCUACACACACCAACUUAUACUAGAUUCCAACAAAUACAAAUAGAAUUAGAGAUGAACCAGAUUCAGGUAUAUGUAAUGCAAAUCUAAGAUUAAACUUCUUAAACAACCAGCCCUAGCUAUUCAAAAUCUAAUCAAUCCAAUUGCAAUGCAGAAAUGCCUACAAGCCAAUUCAAAAUUCAAAAUUGUGAGUUAAAUGCUUUAUUCACUUUGUAAAAACUGAAUCAUGCUUUAGGAAUUGAAAUAAGUUGAAACUUGAGCUUAAUUACUUCAAAGAGAUCAACUUAUGCACAAUUAUGUCACACACAGUAGAUAUGUAUCUAAGGGAAAUAAAACAGCUAGGUGACAUUCGUUAAUAAGCAUGCAUUCAAUUCAAGUGAAGUUAUGGCUUUAGGCACAAAACAGAAUUUAGAAUCCAACAACAAGUGAAUCAAUCAGACAAGCAAGGUCUAAAACUGCACAUGAUUAGUUCUAGAAAACAGCAUAGAAUGUUUGAGUCAACCAAAAGGAAUGGAAUUUUGUAACCAAAAGCAAUGAUUUUCAAAAUAGAUUAACAAGCAGGAUUUGAACAGAAAUAGAAUUGGCAAACUAACUUAACCCAAGAAGUUGAAAACAGAUUGCCUUAACCAAUUUAAAAGAAACAAAGUGUUCAUAUUAACAGCUCGAUCCUUUGGUCAUCUUGGAUGCAUUCCAACUUGAUCAGAUUCACUAUGCUGCACAAAGGAACAAAGCAAAUGGUUAAGGUUAAUAUUGAAAUCUCUCUAACUAUCAAGAUCCUUGGCCAAGUUAGCCUCGCAAAACUCACAACACUCAAAACUAUUUCAGAAGGCUUCUCUUUAAAACUUCACACACACAAAUGAAAGGUUUGGAGGGGACAUUCUCCCUUGGCAAUUCAAGGUUGGAGAGUCUUUUAGACCAUCACCACCUAAGAUGCUACCAAGCACAAACAUUUCUUUCAAAUUUCCAAAAAUCCAAAGUGAAACAACUUCUCGCGUAAGAAAUGGAUAGGCUAAGCAAUGGGCAGAAACCAGAAUAGGACAGAUUAGCUACUAAGGCACAAAAAUUAACAGCACAAUAGAACAAAAGACUCAAAACAACUCUAGACCAAAUUACAAAAGCAAAGAAAGGCUCAAUUAAAGAACAGCUGAAUAGAGUUCACAUGUGAUGGACAAAACCAAGAUAGCCAAUCAAGACAAGCAAGAAAAAUGGAUUGCAAACACGGAGGCACAACAAAUUGAUCCUAAGAAUAGAACUAGAACAUAUUUAAAAGCUAUAAGACCUAAGUUGAACCAGUUAUGAAUGAAAACAAUUAUAUCUGAUUUUGGCAGAGAUAGUUUACUGAAACAGUGAACACUAUUGUGAAUUGCACUAGUUCUCUUUACUCUUUUUUUUAUCACAAUUUGAUAGCCAAAUCUGAUUUGGAUGACACUUUAGAACUUGCUAUUUUCAGUCACAGUUCAACACAGAGCACCUAAUCAACUUUUCAACUUAUUCAAAUUUUUGCCAAAAGAAAUUAAACAUGAUUCAACUCAAAAUAAAAUCCAAAGGAAAACAAUAUAUUAAUCACUCUCAGCCACGGUUAUAGUUUCAAAUACUUGGCUCACAGGCUUCCUUGAGUGACCAAAAAUACAUACUCAAAUGCAGAAUUGUUGUCAAGGUAUAUGCUUAGUGAAUGCACACUAUUAACCACACUCAGAAAUUCAAAAACAAGUUCAAACACUGUUGCAAGCAAUUUCAAUGCAAUUCUGUAGAUUCUUAGACCACAAUAGAUGCCAAAGAGACAAUGUCAAUGACUAUACUAGAAAAAUUGAACCAGAGCUUGGCAAAGAAUCUAAAACCAAUUAUGAAUGACUCCAAGACUCUCAAAGCACAUUCAGUAUCGAUGAAACUAAUUAACAGAUUCAAGAAAAAUGUUACUUCAUCCAAUGCUGCCACAGAAAUCUGUCAUCGACCUCAUUCAAUUGAAUGUCAUGGCUCUUAAUGAUUGACAGGAGUCAAAGAAGGCAUAGACCAAACUUAACUCAUGACUUGACAAUUACAAAGGUUAAACUCAUAUUCAUAUGACAAAUCAAACAAAUAACAUGACUAAACAUAACAGAAAUGAUUUAGAAAUCAAAAUGACUCAAAUACAAAGAUUCACCGAAUAAAAUGAUCAAAACAAGACUCGACUCAAAGCACAGAACAACACAAACCUAUGCACAUCUUAUCAGAUUUUGGAAACCUAAGAACAUUGUCGCAACCGGAAUCACGACGGGACGAGGUUCCAAAAAAGAAACAGUUUUGAUUUUGAAAAGAGAGUUUGGAGUCGCCACCAUAGUUUAUUCUGGAAAACUACAGAAAAACCAUAAAGUGAUAAAGCACGGUCCACGAAAACCAAAGAUGGGGUUCGGGAGUCAGUUACGAGUAGGGAAGGUAUUAGCACCCUACAACGCCUGCCCGAAGGCAAUACCAUUAAUUAAAUACGCGAAUGUGAUGUGGUUUACAAAAUGUUAAACUAUCCCAAAAAAUGACAAUCUAAAGAAACAAAAUAUAUUUUUUUACUUUUUGUGCCCGACAAGGAUUGACCUUGCUCCUACGUAUUCUCAAAGUGAGAAAUUAGGGUUACGUAGUUCUAGCUGAAAGAUUGUUUCUUUGUUUCAAAAUGUUUUUAGUUUUUGAAGAUUUUAUAUUUUUUUGGUAUCUUUUAUAUAAAAAAGGGAAAAGGUUUUUCAGCACAAGGCCUACGCGAACGGUCGCACGUGUGCUUUAAACCCUUUGAAAUAAUAUUGUUAAUUUUUGAAAGAAGAAGAAAAAGUUUUCANCGCAAGGCCNACANAAUNGUCGNACCUNUNCUUAAACCUUUAAAAUGAAAUUUUGUUGAUUUUUAAAAGAAGAAGAAAAAGUUUUCAGCGCAAGGCCGACAGAAUGGUCGCACCUGUGCUUAAACUUUUAAAAUGAAAUUUUCUUGAUUUUUGAAAAAAGAAGAAAAGAGAGUUUUUAACACAAGGCCGAGACAAUGGUCACGCGUGUGCUAUUAACCUUUUNNNNNNNNNNNNNNNNNNNNNNNNNNNNNNNNNNNNNNNNNNNNNNNNNNNNNNNNNNNNNNNNNNNNNNNNNNNNNNNNNNNNNNNNNNNNNNNNNNNNNNNNNNNNNNNNNNNNNNNNNNNNNNNNNNNNNNNNNNNNNNNNNNNNNNNNNNNNNNNNNNNNNNNNNNNNNNNNNNNNNNNNNNNNNNNNNNNNNNNNNNNNNNNNNNNNNNNNNNNNNNNNNNNNNNNNNNNNNNNNNNNNNNNNNNNNNNNNNNNNNNNNNNNNNNNNNNNNNNNNNNNNNNNNNNNNNNNNNNNNNNNNNNNNNNNNNNNNNNNNNNNNNNNNNNNNNNNNNNNNNNNNNNNNNNNNNNNNNNNNNNNNNNNNNNNNNNNNNNNNNNNNNNNNNNNNNNNNNNNNNNNNNNNNNNNNNNNNNNNNNNNNNNNNNNNNNNNNNNNNNNNNNNNNNNNNNNNNNNNNNNNNNNNNNNNNNNNNNNNNNNNNNNNNNNNNNNNNNNNNNNNNNNNNNNNNNNNNNNNNNNNNNNNNNNNNNNNNNNNNNNNNNNNNNNNNNNNNNNNNNNNNNNNNNNNNNNNNNNNNNNNNNNNNNNNNNNNNNNNNNNNNNNNNNNNNNNNNNNNNNNNNNNNNNNNNNNNNNNNNNNNAUUUAUAUACACACAUUUGUAAUAUUAUUGUGAUCUUGCCUUAAUGGCGAAUUAAUUGUCAAUUAGCAAAAUAGGGAAAUAAAUGGUCUUGAUUGAAGAAAAAUAAAUCAAAUUAAAAUCAUAUUUUUCUCUUUAAGAAGAAAUUUAAUACAACAAUCAAUAUAUUAUUUUUAAUUAUUUGUUGUAAUAUUGCCAUAAUGUUGAUUCGAAUUAUUACCAAAUAAAACACAAUUUCAAAAAUAUUCUAAAGUGAUAUUUCAUGCAUUAAUAUUAAUUGUUUAUGGGCCUCCUGCACCAUUUUUCCAAGAAAAUCACUUGGAGCACCUCUUCCAUUUAAUCACCAUUCUUUUCUUUUCAUUUUAUUCACGUGCACCCCCUUUUUUUCUUUUUUCCUUCCUUCCUUUUUUCCUUUUUUCUUCUUUUUUUUCUUUUAAAAUUUUCUCUUUUUUUAUUCUUUCUUCGUUUUUUUGUAAUUACUUUUUUUUUAAAAAGAAAUUAAACAAAAAUAGAAAAAUAAAAUUAAGAAUAACAUAAAAUAAAAUAAAUAAUAAAAAAAUGAAAGAAAAUAAAUGAAAUAGGACAACAAUAAAAACCAAGUCUCACUAUUUAGUCACUCGGACGAAAUUGAGUGUUAACAGCUGCCCCUUUUUACUUAGAUAUUACUAGAUAAUAUGAAAAUUUGAUAUUUUUGUAUUAUCUGAGUAAAAGCUAAGUAAAGAUAGAAACACUAAAUUUUUCCGGGUUUCAAAAAGAAAUAAAAGGAUGAAAACUAAAAAACUUAAAUUUCACCAUUGCGUAGUAGAGGGCCGAUAAAAUUAAAACCUGGAUUUGACCAUUGCCUUGCAAAGGGCCAAAAUCGCAGAAGGAAAACUUAAAUUUGACCAUUGCGAAGCAGAGGGCUGAUAACAAAAUUAAAACCUGGAUUUGGCCAUUGCCUUGUAGAGGGCCAAUAUCGCAGAAGGAAAACUUAAAUUUGAUCAUUGCGAAGUAGAGGGCCGAUAACAAAAUUAAAACCUACAUUUGACCAUUGCCUUGCAGAGGGCCAUAAUAGCAGAAGGAAAACUUAAAUUUGACCAUUGCGAAGCAGAGGGCCGAUAACAAAAUGAAAACCUGGAUUUGACCAUUGCCUUGUAGAGGGCCAAAAUCGCAGAAGAAAAACUUAAAUUUAACCAUUACGAAGCAGAGGGCCGAUAACAAAAUUAAAACCUAGAUUUGGCAAUUGCCUUGCAGAGGGCAAAAAUCACAGAAGAAAAACAUAAAUUCGACCAUUGCGAAGCAGAGCGCCGAUAACAAAAUUAAAACCUGGAUUUGACCAUUAGAGUGCCAAAAUCGCAGAAGAAGAACUUAAAUUUGACCAUUGCGAAGCAGAGGGACGAUAACAAAAUUAAAACCUGGAUUUGUCCAUUGCCUUGUAGAGGGCCAAAACCGCAGAAGAAAAACAUAAAUUUAACCAUUGCGAAGCAGAGGGCUGAUUACAAAAUUAAAACCUGGAUUUGACCAUUGCCUUACAGAGGGCCAAAAUCGCAGAAGAAAAACAUAAAUUUGACCAUUGCGAAGCAAAGGGCCUAUAAGAAAAAGAAAAACUUGAGCUUAAGGUGCCAGGCGAAUUGGGCUUUGGGUGCCAGACAAAACUGGGCUUUUGUGGUCACACCUGUGCUUAAACCUUUAAAAUGAAAUUUUGUUGAUUUUUAAAAGAAGAAGAAAAAUUUUUCCGCACAAGGCCGACAAAAUGGUCGCACCUCUGCUUAAACCUUUAAAAUGAAAUUUUGUUGAUUUUUAAAAGAAGAAGAAAAAGUUUUUAGCGCAAGACCGACAGAAUGGUCGCACCUGUGCUUAAACUUUUAAAAUGAAAUUUUGUUGAUUUUUAAAAAAGAAGAAAAAAAAGUUUUUAACACAAGGCCGACACAAUGGUCACGCGUGUGCUAUUAACCUUUUAAAAUAAAUUUUUGAUUAUUUUUAUAAAAGAAGGAAAAAAGUUUUUGUAAAAGAAAAGGAAAAGAUUUUUAGCACAAGGCCUACACGAACGGUCGCACGUGUGCUUAAACCUUUUCAAAAAAAAUUUAUUGAUUUUUAAAUUUUUAUUUUUAUUAGCAAAGAAUAAUAAAAUAAAUUCUAAAGCUAAAGAAAUAAAAGCAAAAACAAUAAAAUGAAAACAAAAAGUCCAAUAAGAAUGGGAAAGGAAAUAUAACUAGGAAAUUGAUCUCCACCCUUCUGAAGCUGCCUUAAAGGUCCUCCACUGCACCACAAAAAGCUUCUACAGAAAGUUGUUCAUUCAUUUGUGCACGUGCCUCUUUGUCCCACUCCAUUUAUAUACACACAUUUGUAAUAUUAUUGUGAUCUUGCCUUAAUGGCGAAUUAAUUGUCAAUUAGCAAAAUAGGGAAAUAAAUGGUNCCCACUCCAUUUAUAUACACACAUUUGUAAUAUUAUUGUGAUCUUGCCUUAAUGGCGAAUUAAUUGUCAAUUAGCAAAAUAGGGAAAUAAAUGGUGUUGAUUGAAGAAAAAUAAAUCAAAUUAAAAUGAUAUUUUUCUCUUUAUGAAGAAAUUUAAUACAACAAUCAAUAUAUUAUUUUUAAUUAUUUCUUGUAAUGUUUGCCGUAAUGUUGAUUCGAAUUAUUACCAAAUAAAACACAAUUUCGAAAAUAUUCUAAAGUGAUAUUUCAUUCAUUAAUAUUAAUUGCUUAUGGGCCUGCUACACCAUUUUUCCAAGAAAAUCACGUGGAACACCUCUCCCAUUUAAUCACCAUUCUUAUCUUUUCAUUUUAUUCACGUGCACCCCUUUUUUUUUCCUUCCUUCCUUUUUGCCUUUUUUCUUCUUUUUUUUUUUGUUUUAAAAUUUUCUCUUUUUUUAUUCUUUCUUCGUUUUUUUGUAAUUACUUUUUUUAAAAACAAAUUAAACAAAAAUAGAAAAAUAAAAUUAAGAAUAACAUAAAAUAAAAUAAAUAAUAAAAAAAAUGAAAUAGCACAACAAUAAAAACCAAGUCUCAUUAUUUAGUCACCCGGACCAAAUUGAGUGUUAACAAACAUGAAAACAACUUUCACAGAAUAAGAUGCACGAACUCAAAUAGAUAAGCAAUCAAGACAGUGAAGGCAAAGUGAUUACAACUCAGAAAUUGAAGAAACGCAACAAGAUACUCAGAGUCAAGAUCAAACCGAGACAAAAACACAAAUAAUGACAUCAACGUGAUGGAAAAUCCCUUAACCAUGAUCAAGCACUUUCAAGAGAGUUAAAGUCAUCCUUGAAGAUGGUGUCAACUCUACAUUGUGGACCACCUUUGGAGCCAUUAUUAAGCAAGGUUUGAAGAGUAGUGUAGGAAUUUAGGCCAUUGUAUUAGGCCAUGUAGUGUAGGUUUGUUUAAGGCUUGUAUUAGGGCCUAAGUAGCAUAGGAUUUUCCUUAAAAUGUUAGGCAUCCAAACCAAGUGGAAAGUGUGUGACAUGUGUCAUGCUUCCAUUUGAGAGGAUUUGCUUUUUAAAAGGUAGCCACAUGGCACCUUAGGAGUGGAGAGUUUUUGCUUUUAGUAGUGGCCACAUGGCACUCUAGGAAUGGAGAAAAUUGUGUUUUGUGAGUGGCCACGUGUCCUCCCAUCAUUGGAGGUUAGAAGGCCUCAUUUUUUGCCAAUGAGAGCAAAGGUGGGAGAUCAUACUUUUAGGGUUAGAAGGAGACACCCUUGGCCUAUAAAUAGAGGUGUCUCCACCCUUGUAUUUCAUCUUUGAUUUUGAGUAAUGUUAUGCUGCCCAUUUUUGGCCAUACUACUCAUCUUAGAUCAAGACUAGAGCAACCCAUGAGGCCCUUCUAAUCACCUUCCUCCUUGAGUUGGCCUAACCUCUCUUGGAGCCAUCAAACACUACACCACCACCACCAUAUCUCCUAGAGGCUUUGAGCCUCUACCCCAUUCAUACCUUAACUCAUCAUCAUUGGACCAUUUACCACCACAUUUCUGCACCAUUCAUCCAAGGAAACACCCCUCCGUUGCAUCCUUCUAAGCUUUGGCCCAACCUAGCUUAAGGAGGUUGCCAUCACAACGAGAAACGCAAAUCAAAUGAAAAUCAAAAUAGAGACAGAGACAAAGUUACUUAGUUGUUGACGCGUGCUCGAAUCGAGCUCUGGUACCACUUGAUGGAAGACGCCUUGAGGAAAUGACCGAUUAGGGUGACACGAAAGUAGGUAAAGCUCCACUUUAAUGAGUAAGACCAAGUAUCGUUUCCCAAAGGACUCUUAGGCCUUAACUUUUGUGUAACCUAAUUGCGUAAGACUUGAGAAAAGAAUUAAAUUUAGGUUUUUGAAUGCAAGAACAAAAGUAAACAUGCAUAUGCAGUGAAUCAAUUAGCAAGGAAGAAAACUAUGAAUGAAUGGUGUUGUUGGGGUUUACAAUUUCAUCUUAUCCACUCUCUUAUAUUUACUCUUCUUAUUUAAUUUGCUUCUUUAUCAUAUUGUCAUGCAAAUUUUCUUAGUCUACCCUUAACCCAAUCUCUUGGCGAAAAGAGCUUAUUACUAAUUACCGACUUGCUAUCUCUAGCCUCCCCUAGUAACUAAUAAUGCAUGAUAAACGAAAGCAAAAUACAAUUGAUCGUCCUACCCCUAUCUCUAGGCGGUAUUAGCUUAAUCAAGGAAUUCCCCCAGCUCAUUACAUUAUCGUACGUCUUCGUAUCCAUAAAGACAAACAACAUUUACCGAAUGAGUUAAAUGAUAAAAGCAUUAAGCAAAGGUAAGGAACCCAAUGAUUGAAAAAUCAAGUAUAUGCAAGCAUAUAAAAUAAAUAAGAAUUUGGAUAUAUGAGAGUUUAAAAAGAUCAUAUUGUUCUCCAACAACAAAGGUUUUAGUUCACCAUAAUCAUGAUGAACUAGAUGAAAUACAAUGGAAGAAUGAAAUAAUAAACCCUAGAUUUAGUAGAUUAGAGCCUAAGCAUCCAAAAAAAUGAGUUUUGAAUUGCACUAGGGCUAUAUAUAGGCCAAAAAGAUAACAUAAUCUAGGCCAAAUAAACACAGAUAAUCGCUCAGUGGCUAAAUAAACCGCUCAGUUGUUUCCCUCUUGGCCGUGCAACUGCUCAGCAGUCAGUUUUACCGUUGAACGGUUUGCCUCUAAUCACCCUGGACGCUCAGCGGUCCAUUCUGACGCUCAACAGUUUCUUGACUCUUCUUUUCAUCAUUUUAUUCAUCUGUCAUGGGUCUAAGUCCACCUUGCUUUACUUCCAUCUUCAAUUCACCUCAAAACCCUGCAAAACAAUGUAAAAAUAAGCAUAAUAUCUCUAAAACCAACUUUUGACUCUUACAUGACUCAACUAAGUGUUUUACUUGAUUUUAACAUCAUUUUAAGCCAUAAAGGAUGUGCUUUGAUAUCAAAUUUAAGUAUGAAAAUAACGGGUUUUAGAUCGCUAUCAAGCAUCUCUUUUGGACUAUUUGUGUCUAGCUCUCUUCUUUAUUCUCACGUUAUUCUCUUUAUAGCCAUCGUACAACAACACCUAUUCUUGAUUUUCUAGCAUGAUCCUCCCAGUAUAGACACUAAAAAGAAAUUUUGAAGUUGCCAUAAAAGGUCUUCCCAGAAUCACUGGAACCUUUUCAUCAUUUUCCAGAUCCACAACCACAAAAUCAAUCAAGAACUCCAACUGCUCAAUACGAACAAUCGCAUCCUCCACCAUAGCAUAUGGCUUCAUAGUUGAGCCAUCCGCCAUUGUUAGAGAAAGUUUAGAUGGUUUUAAUACUAGCCCUCCGAUUUUUUUCAAAUAACGCAAAGGCAUCAUAUUAAUACUCGAUCCAGAAUCUAUCAUAGCUCCUCCUACAUCAACAUCAUUAACAACACAAGGCAGAGUCAAACACCCUAGAUCCUUCAUUUUUGGCGGAUGCAUCCUCUUUUUUGGUUGGAUAGAAAUUUCCUAUUCUUCUUCAUCACCCUCACUACUACUCAGCUCAAUAAUUUAUUUUUCUUCUUCCUCUUCACUACUCUUAACUUCAACAACUUCCUUUUCAGCUUUCCUUUUACUCCUUGUCAUAACAACUUUGCACUCCUCCUUAGGGUUAACAUCAGUAUUAGCCCUAAAUUGAUUCUUUUCUGUGGUCUCCUCCCUUUUUUACAAUUGACCAAUUUGCAUCUCCAAAGAUCUGAAACUGGCUUGGUCACCUGCAUGUUGAGACUCAUAAACCUUCAAAAAUUUAUCAAAUCUGUCAUGUAAGUCUCUGUCAAAUGAUUCACCUGCUACCACAAGGGUGAAGAUAGCUACGGCCUAUUAUUAAGGAAGCCUCCUUAUUGCCCAGAUGGGUUACUUUGAGAUUUCCAAUGCCAGGAUGGUUUUUCCAACCUUGACUAGAAUUUCCUUGGUUGAAAUUUCCCUGCCUAUACUGGAACUGGUUACCCAUAUAAUUAGCCUCCUAUUGAAUAUUUUCUGGCAUAGCACAUUGACCAUUAAUAUGGUCACCACCACAAAAGUCAUAAAGUUGUUGUGCAUUGGAGACAUUCCUAAUCUCCUUUGGAAGCUGAGAAAGGAUCUUUGUCAAAUUAUCCAGCUUUUGCGUAAGAAGAUGAUUUUAAGCUAGCAUGGCAUCAUCAGUAGGCAAAUACAAAACUCCCCUUUUUUGUACUGGUGCGCCCCUCUCACUGUAUCUCUCCUGUUCAUUUGCAGCCAUACUCUCGAUCAAAUCGUAGGAUUCACCCUCAGUCUUCCUCUUUAUGUCACCUUCAGCUGAGGAUCAAGCAUCAUCUUUGACUGAGUGUUUAAACCUCCAAGGUAUGCAAGAACUAGAGUGGUCUUGUCAAAACCGUGGACUAGCAUCUUCCUCAAUAAGACUUUAAAUCUUUCCCAGGCUUGACCAAGAGUUUCCUCCAUGCCCUGUUUAAAUGAAGAGAUUUCCAACCUUCCUUGGGUGACUUUUGAUUGUGGAAAAUAUUUACUCACAAAUUUUGACGCCACAGUCUCGCAUGUAGUAAACGUUCCCUCUAGAAAAGAGUGUAACCAUGUCUUAGCAUUGCCUCCCAGUGAGAAAGGAAACAAGCUAAGCUUUACUCUUUCAUUCGAUACUCCAUUCAUCUUGACAAUAUUACAAAUUUCACUAAACGUUGUCAAAUGAUCAUGAGGGUUCUCAUUUGACAAAUCGUGAAAUUGAUUGCCCUGUACAAGAUGGAUUAACGCAGGAUUCAUCCCCAUGUUGGUUGUAUUAUCUGUGGGCAUGACUAUACUAGUGAAGUGGAAUGGGCCCACAACAUUAGAUGCAUUACCAAGAGUGCGUGUGGGAGAAGGUUGCUCAUUUGCCAUCUCUUCUGAUUCUAGUGUACGAGCUUCUGGUGAGGGUGGUAACAAUCUUUUAGGAGAAGGAAACAACUCCCUAAAUGGGUGUCUAACUCUCCUUCCUCUCCUAUCUGAUAUUCCUUCUAGAAGCAGUUGUUGGCUUUUCUUACUUCUAGUACGAAUAGCUUCCUGCAUACACAAGAAACAAAUACCCUAGAAGCACUUUUUAUAAAAAUAAAAAUAAAAAUAAAAUAAAACAAAAACAAAAUAUAUACAAACAAGUCAAAUUCAAUCAAUUUACACUACUAGAAAAGUUAAACCAUGAGUCCUCAGUAGUAGCGCCAAAAACUUGUUAAGCCCCUGGCUAGUGUACCAGAUCAUUAUCAAGUAAUAUAUAAACGGUAAGUCCGGGUAUCGUUCUCCCAAAGGACUCUUAGGCCUUAACUUUCAUGUAAAUUGAUCUUAUAAAACUUGUAAAGAAAUAAACUUGUGGUGGAAUGCAAAGAACAAAAAUAAACAUGCAAAUGCAAGUGAUUCAAUUGGAAAGGAAAAGAUAUGGAUGAAUGGAGUUGUUGGGGUUUACAAUUUCAUCUUAUCCACUCUCUUAUAUCUACUCUUCUUGUUAAAUUCGCUUUAUUUUCUAAUUGUUAUGCAAACUUUCUUAGUCUACCCUAAACCCGAUCCCUGUUAACGGAUUGGCAAGCGUACCAAAUCGUAUCAAGUAAUAAUAAAUGGUAAGUCCAAGUAUCGUUUUCCCAAGAGACUCGAAAGGCCUAUCGUUCACGUGAAUUAAAAUUGUAAGACAUGAAAAUAAAAAAUAAUUAAUUGGAUGUGUGAAUAAAAUAUGAACAUGCAAAAGAGAUUGAUUCAAUUGACUAGAAGAAAACAAUGGAUGAAUGAAGUUGUUGGGGGUUUACAAUUUCAUCUUAUCCACUCUUUCUUAUUUACUCCUCUUGAUUUAUUAGUUUGAUUAAUUAAUUGUCAUGCAACUUUCUUAGCCUACUCUUAACCCAAUCCCUCGGUGAAAAGAGCCUAAUACUAAUUAUUGGCUUGCUAUCCCUAGCCUCCACUAGUAAUUAAUACAGCAUUAUAGAGCAGAAGUUAUAAACAAUUGAUCAUCCUACCCCUAUUCCUGGGUGGUAUUGCUUAAUCAAGGAAUUACUCACCAAUUCAUGACAUUAUUGUACGUCCCCGUAUCAAUAAAGAUAAACAUCAAUUAUCGAAUGAGUUAAACGAUAAAGGCAUUAAGCACAGAUGAGAACCCAACAAUUAAAAAUCAAAGCAUAUGGAAACCAUAUAAAUAAACAAGAGUUUCAAUAAAAGAGAGUGUCAAAAGAUUACAUUGUUUCCCAUAACAACAAUAGGGUUUAGUUCACCAUUGACAUGGUGAAUCUAAAUGAAAAAUGGAGGAAGAAUAAAAAAGCAAACCCUAGAUAAGAUGAAAAGGAGCCUAAGCAUCCAAGAGAUCCUCUCUAGAGAGUGAAAUUAGGUCUGGCCGCCCCUUCUGUCAAUAGAAUGCAUCUAAACUUGCAACAGGGCUAUUUAUAGGUGAGGAGUGCAACAGAAAACAGGCCCAAGCCCAGCAGACAACUGCCCGGCGGAACAAGUGUGGCUCCCGGUGGUUUCCCACAAAUCGCACUACCGCCCGGCGGUAAAGGUCUACCGCCCAGCGGUUUCCCUCAAAUCGCAAAACCGCCCAGCACUAACGCAAGGUGCCUACUCCUCGCCCUGGACCGCCCGGCGGUGGAAUUUGCCGCUGGGCUGUACGCCGACUCUUCAAUUCUUCAAUUUUCUUCUCUUUUCUUGAGUCUACGACUUUUAUCUUCAACUCCAUUCUUCAUUUUCUCAAAAAUGCUACAAAACAAUGUAAAACAAGCAUAAUAUCGCUAAAAACAGCUUUUGACUCUCUACAGACUCAUUUAUUGAGUUUUGCUUGAUUCUAAGCUCAUUCCAAGUAGUAAAGGGACUAAUUUGGUCUAAAAUGACAUGAAAAUAACUAUUUUUCAACCUUCAUCAACACCCUAAACUUAGAACUUUGCUUGUCCUCAAGCAAACAAAACAAAACAAUACACAAAACAAAGUUUGGCUUUAUACUAUUUCAUCCACUGUUUCAACAUUCCCAACGUACAUGACAAAACUACUCAAUCUUAAAUCUUCAUUGAAAUCAAAAUAAGAUGCAUGCAUGCUUUCAAUCCAGAGAUUGCACAACAGAUGUUACACAUUAUGAAUGACUAAUCCACUCAGCAAAAAUGCACUCAUGAGAAGUAAAAAUUCACUCAAUCACUCAAGUGUUUAAGGUAACACUCCAACUCUCUAUUAUUCACAAGUCACAUGGAACAAAAUUGUCAUUCAUCUCAAACAAUCAACCUCUUUACAUGCAAAUGCCAUCAAAAGGACAUUUUUCAAGGCUUAUAAUGAGGUUAGGCUAACAAAAAUAAUUGGUUUUUCUGGAAUGCAAAGUUCUUGAGUCAAGAGAGCUAUCAUAAUAUUCAACAUUUAAGCACAACUCUCUCCCUCACCAAUCUCUCUCAUUCCCAACUUUUUCCCUUUUCUUUUACAUUGAACUCACUUUCAUGCUUUUUUUUCUUUUCUUUUCUUUUUCUCAUGAAUUUUUCUUUUCACAACAAUUGAGCUCAAUGCUUUUCAUUUGCCUUCAAUUUCCCNCAUGCAACCCCAAACUUGAACCAUUCCAUCGCAUACAAUUAAGCUCAUCCCAACUCAAGGUAAAAAAUUUCAAGACAAGGGUUCACAUCCUGUUUAAGGCCAAGGUUGAAAAAGGGUAUAAUAUUUUCAAGCACUUUGGGUGAAAAUUUGGCUAGAGAAGGGUUCUCAAAAAUUGCCUUGAUCAUAUGAAAUUCAUAUGCAAUUCACUCAAUUAUCAAGAUUAAGGCAAUAUCAUUCAUGUUUUCCUGUGAACAAUGCAUACAACAAUAAAAACUCUGGAGCUCAAUACCUCACACAAAAUGCUUUCUCACACAAGAUUCAUUCAUACACCCUACUUAGCAUCAUAACCACAAUCAUAAUUCAUCACACAUCUGUUUCACUGGAUAUUAACACACAACACAGCUCAAUUAUCAUCCACAUCAAAUAAUCAUCAAAUAGUUCCAUCAUGCANAUCAAUCAGUCAAACAUUUUCAGAAAAAGUUUUCAAGCUAAGAAUACACACUGAAAUUAAAAUUCAACCUAUUCUAAGAAUUUAAAUAGUAGAAGUAAAAGAGAGAAAAUGAUACGCGGGGCCCAAGUCCAAUGUCUUUAGUGUAGUCUUUCUUUUAUGUACUGUAUAAAUAUGUUAGGUAUGUGGGACUUCUAGUCCUAUAUAUAGUCAUGCCUACACUUCUUGUACUUACUUUUAAGAUUAAUGAGAAUUAGAUUUCUGAAACCCAGAAUUAAUUCUCUCUUGAAAGUCAUAGGCUAGAGAGUCCAAAGAGUCCCUCUAGCCACCUUCCUUGCACAUUGCCUUUCCUCUCAUUUUCCAUAUUCAGAAUUCUCACUCCUCCACGGAAGCCAAUCCUUUCACGCCACUCGUUCCACUCCAAAGCCUACGUGUGGCAUACGUCAGCCUCGUAGCAGCUACAUCUUCAAAUCUUGCUGCCUACCCCGUAAGUCAUUUGCAUUUCUUCAUCUCCAAACCCUAAGUGUUUUCUCCCUCUCUGACGGCCUCCAUUGUUGGCUCGCCAUCACCAAAUCUGGACUCCAUCUCUAAUCCAAGUCCAGAACAGCCUCUUCCAUCAGGUUUGUCACCAUUCUACCGAUUCAAAACCUCAAUCUCCUCUAUCUCACCGAUUGAACCUAGCUUCGAGCAUUUUACACCGAUUAAAACAUUGAGAUCUUCCAUUUCACCGAUUCAAUCGGUGAAACCUUUCUUUUUACCAUUUAAAACCUUCCAAACGUCUAGCCCUAGCCUUUCCACCGAAUAAAUCACCAAACUUAGGGUUCAUAGCCAUCUUCUCCUGUAUUCC
This 42353-nucleotide long non-coding RNA is filed under the name Vigna radiata. RNAcentral's name for it is "long non-coding RNA (VRAD_LNC012026)". The record is from RNAcentral. Lineage: Eukaryota; Viridiplantae; Streptophyta; Magnoliopsida; Fabales; Fabaceae.